Ictidomys tridecemlineatus (thirteen-lined ground squirrel) is the source of this 1921-nucleotide non-coding RNA. The record is from RefSeq and is a predicted model, not a curated record. NCBI's taxonomy places the organism in Eukaryota, Metazoa, Chordata, Mammalia, Rodentia, Sciuridae.
GGCAAAGCUGAGCCCAGUCCCCGCAUCAGCCGGGCACCUCCCGCCACCACCAGCCACUCCCCAGCUGGUACCACACGCCUCCGUCGCUGAGUACCCAUGAAGGGCCCAGCUCCUGGGCAAGGACACCCCCAUCCCAGCCUUUACCACCCCCAGUGCAGCUGUUUUCCACUGUUUCCCAGAUUCUGAGAACCGCUGUAAACAGGUGGAGGGUCACACAGAAGUGGGCAGCAGACUCUGAAAGGUUAACAUCUUCUUUCUUCCAGUUGCCGCAGUUGCUAUGGAUAUUUCCUCCAGGAGGCUGCGUGAGUUCCACAUGAAGAGGCUGAAAUUAAUAAACUCCUUUGAACUCAGAGGACACCACCCAGGCUGAGCUGCAAAUGCUGCCACCUGUUUAUUUCUGGCUCAGACGGGGGCCAGCCGUGCAGGUGUGCGUGCCCGGGGCAGCUGGGGGCUACCUGUGGGUUUGCUGAGUUUCCGUGGCACAUGUGGAUCUCUGUCUGGUCUGCACAUCUGCGUGAAGGAGGGUCAGGAGAGGACUCGGCUGUCUGCGGAUCCCUAAGGGCAAAGAUUUAUUUGAUAGUUUCCCCAACUAGACAGCACGACACCGAGGAUCAAGGGCUGCUUUUAUCCACCUCUGCAAUCCCAGCAGCACCAGCGCUGUGUGCGGGGGCUGCUCAGCCACUGUUCCCUCAAAGAUGCACCUGUUCCCUUAACAAAUGCCCUGCCAUGGGCCUGGCUACGUGUGGUGGUGGCCACUGCCACAGUAAACAAGCGGGAGUCCCCCCCAUCAGGGAGCCGGGGGUCUCAGGGGAGAUGGAGACGGAUGGAUGAAGAAAUCCCCAAAUAGGAGGUUACGCAAGUCCCUUCUGGUGGCUGACGGUGCAUGGGACUAUUUAUAGACAGACAAAAGAACAAAUGGAAAAACCAAGUGUCGUGUGUGCGGGAGGAGGUAUCAGAAGACAAAGAAUGCUGGCCCUGGCGUGGCACCUGGGGACUCCUGUCCUGCUGCUGCUGCUGAUCAGUGACGAGUCCCUGCUCACCCACGCCCUCAGCUUGCUCCUUCACUGAGUAAAGGUUUAGCGUGGGCUCUGCUUGCCUGUGACCGUGAACCUGGAUGGAUGCAGCUGCACAUUUCCAAUCUAGACCUGAGAGGCUUUCAAAAGACGCUCGACUGGAGUCUGCCCAGGGCCGCUGGGCGGAGGCACAUGGCCUGAUCUCAGAGAAAUCAUUGAUAGGAAGAUUCACGACAGCCCUCCUGCUGCAGAGUUGGCCAAGCACCCUAGAUAAGCAGCAGCCAAACCAAGGCUGACCACACUUGAGCAGAGAAAGACUCUUAAGAAACAGACCCAACUGGACCAGCCAGGACUGCGGACUAGUUCAUCUCAGAUCCCAUGACUGCCCCGCACCAUCAGUGGUGACCACGAGGAAGGAUCCUAGGGUCCAAAAGAAGUUUGACGGUUGGGCACUUCCAGAGGAGACAGGGAUUACGCAGACACCCAAACCGUCUCGGCCUCCAGUUCUUCACUGAGAACGGGGCACGGAUUGCUCAAGGCACCGGCUAAGGGAGUGGUCCUGGUCUGGAUUACGUGAGCCCGGGGCCCUGUGCUGUGUCAGUCUAAUGGUGUGACCGCACCUUGCUUCUGAGAUCCCAAGCUUUCCUUCUGAACAAGCUCAUGAGGGGACACAUGCGCUUCCUCCCGGUUCGUCCUGCGGCACGUGAAGGUCCUGUGCAUUCUGCCCCCCACCUCCCCUCCUCCCACUCCAGUGCUCUGUGGCUGCUCCCCUGUCCCCCUCAGCUUUAGAAUCCUUCCUGCAGAAUGAACACUUUUCUGUGGGACUCAGGGCUGGUGGCUGUGCUUGGGUAGAGGAGCUACAUGUUCUUCUUUGAAAUCAGCGCUAUAAACAGGUAUUUUGAUACGGG